This 576-nucleotide ribosomal RNA is filed under the name uncultured eukaryote. RNAcentral describes it as "SSU rRNA". It matches the Rfam family "Eukaryotic small subunit ribosomal RNA", at positions 174 to 754 of the family's 1831-position model. The record is from RNAcentral.
UAAAAACCCCGACUUCGGAAGGGGUGUAUUUAUUAGAUACAAAACCAAUGCCCUUCGGGGCUCUUUGGUGAUUCAUGAUAACUAUACGAAUCGCACGGCCUUGCGCCGGCGAUGGUUCAUUCAAAUUUCUUCCCUAUCAACUUUCGAUGUUUGGGUAUUGGCCAAACAUGGUUGCAACGGGUAACGGGGGGUUAGGGCUCGACCCCGGAGAAGGAGCCUGAGAAACGGCUACUACAUCCAAGGAAGGCAGCAGGCGCGCAAAUUACCCAAUCCCGACUCGGGGAGGUAGUGACAAUAAAUACUGAUACAGGGCCCUUUCGGGCCUUGUAAUUGGGAUGAGUACAAUUUAAAUCCCUUAACGAGGAACAAUUGGAGGGCAAGUCUGGUGCCAGCAGCCGCGGUAAUUCCAGCUCCAAUAGCGUAUAUUAAAGUUGUUGUGGUUAAAAAGCUCAUAAUUGAACCUUGGGCCUGGCUGGUCGGUACGCCUUACCGCGUGAACAGAUCCGGCAGGGCCUAUCCCUUUGUGAAAAACAUACACCUUAACUAGGAUGGCGGGAAAAAUAUUUUUUUAUAUUU